Molecule: non-coding RNA, 70 nt
Organism: Podarcis lilfordi (Lilford's wall lizard)
Lineage: Eukaryota; Metazoa; Chordata; Lepidosauria; Squamata; Lacertidae
Source: the annotation of a GenBank genome assembly
GGCCAUGACUCAGUGGGAGAGCAUCUGCUAUGCAUGCAGAAGGCCCCAGAUUCAAUCCCCGGCAUCUCUU